This 132-nucleotide small RNA is filed under the name Sinorhizobium meliloti 2011. RNAcentral describes it as "putative ncRNA". Lineage: Bacteria; Pseudomonadati; Pseudomonadota; Alphaproteobacteria; Hyphomicrobiales; Rhizobiaceae. The record is from RNAcentral.
AGAGCCUGUAGGUGUCGUUCAGGGCGAUGCCGUUCCGCUGGUGGCUCUGAUUGUGAUACCAGGCGAUGAAGCGGAUCGCGUCGCCGAAAUCCGACCGGCGCGCCGUCCAUCGGCCCGUCUCGGCCUGGUAGC